This 1244-nucleotide long non-coding RNA is filed under the name Sparus aurata (gilthead seabream). RNAcentral describes it as "lncRNA (ENSSAUG00010010046.1)". The record is from RNAcentral. Lineage: Eukaryota; Metazoa; Chordata; Actinopteri; Spariformes; Sparidae.
CACACACACACACAUGCAUGUAGUCAUCAUGUUAUAUUAAAGUACUUCCUCCUCUCUCCAGGUGAACAGUGGAUCUUGUCUUCAGCUUCAGGUGGAGCAGCUCUUACCUGUAUGGUGAUCAGACCCGGAGAGGAGAGACACUUGGUCCAACAAGGUGAUGGACGGUUGAAAGGAGGGAUCACCGAGACGAACAAGACGAGCCAAACAAUGGAGAUGAGCCGCCGCAGGAGCCUGAAGGAGAAGUGAAUCCCGGGGAAAGUUGUUGGGAAUUUCUAAAGGUGAGAUGAAGAGAGGCAGACCCUCUGUAGAGCUUAAGAAUCUCAGCCAUCAUGUGUUUGGGAUUAAAGACGUGACACUGAUGGAGCUGAAAGUCUUUUGAGCCGCCACAGAGCCUAAUCACUCCCAGAGGGCCUCAAUGUAAAGGGGAUCAACGUAUUUGUUUUAAGAUGGUAAUGGUGAUAUAAGUGAUUAAAGUCAUUAUUUAAAGCAAAAAUGUCACAUUUUAAUGGUUUUGGCUUCUAAUAUGUCAGAAUGUAAACAUUACUUCUCUUAGAUUAUAGAAACCUGAAUAUAUUUUGGUUUUGGACACAUGACGACAUCACUUUGUUUUUGUGUUAUUUCACUAUAUUCUGAUGUUUUAGGGACCAAAAUCAAUUUAUCCAAUCAAUUAUUGAGAAAUUAAUUGACGGAUGAAUGAGUACUGUAAACAAUAUAUUUAGUUGCAGAAGUAUCAGUGUACAAACAGGCUUAAUGCAUCUGUUUCAUGCAGGUCGGGGGAAUUCUUAACACAAAUAAAACUGUAAACGAAACAUUGUCUUCAUUCCAGUGAAUGAGAAAAUGAAAGCACACUGGCUCUUUGAAACAUGAAAUGACUACCACAUCAAAAAAAACAUGAAUUAAACAAACACACAUAUGUAAAGAUCCAUAGAAUAUCAAUAAAAACAGAUUAAAGUGGUAAAAAAAAUUAACUCCUAAUAAUUUCUUUUAUCGCUGAAAACAAGUUUAAAUUGAAGAACUGGGAGGCAGACAGGACAAUAACCAGUCCGAGCCUUGAAUCAGACCUGGGAAUAUUUUUAUAACCUUUUACAUUUCUUUACAUUAAUCAAAACAAUCAUAAUGUUUCAGAGGUCUUCCACUGAAGACAAACACAAAAUAAAUGAUGACUAUUAACUAGAAUAUGAAGUUAAACGUCUUGAGUGAGUGAAAAUACUUUGAUGUCUCACAACAUCUGGCAUAUUUUAAUG